UACGUAGGGUGCAAGCGUUGUCCGGAAUUAUUGGGCGUAAAGAGCUCGUAGGCGGUUGGGUAAGUCGGGUGUGAAAACUCCAGGCUCAACUUGGAGAUGCCACCCGAUACUGCUCUGACUUGAGUUCGGUAGGGGAGUGGGGAAUUCCUGGUGUAGCGGUGAAAUGCGCAGAUAUCAGGAGGAACACCGGUGGCGAAGGCGCCACUCUGGGCCGAAACUGACGCUGAGGAGCGAAAGCGUGGGUAGCAAACAGG
This 254-nucleotide ribosomal RNA is filed under the name uncultured bacterium. RNAcentral's name for it is "partial 16S ribosomal RNA". It matches the Rfam family "Bacterial small subunit ribosomal RNA", at positions 524 to 776 of the family's 1533-position model. The record is from RNAcentral.